AGGCAGCAGUGGGGAAUAUUGCACAAUGGGCGCAAGCCUGAUGCAGCCAUGCCGCGUGUAUGAAGAAGGCCUUCGGGUUGUAAAGUACUUUCAGCAGUGAGGAAGGCAGGUACGUUAAUAGCGUGCUUGUUUGACGUUAGCUGCAGAAGAAGCACCGGCUAACUCCGUGCCAGCAGCCGCGGUAAUACGGAGGGUGCGAGCGUUAAUCGGAAUUACUGGGCGUAAAGCGCAUGCAGGUGGUUUGUUAAGUCAGAUGUGAAAGCCCGGGGCUCAACCUCGGAAUUGCAUUUGAAACUGGCAGACUAGAGUACUGUAGAGGGGGUAGAAUUUCAGGUGUAGCGGUGAAAUGCGUAGAGAUCUGAAGGAAUACCGGUGGCGAAGGCGGCCCCCUGGACAGAUACUGACACUCAGAUGCGAAAGCGUGGGGAGCAAACAGGAUUAGAUACCCUGGUAG
This 454-nucleotide ribosomal RNA is filed under the name uncultured bacterium. RNAcentral's name for it is "bacterial SSU rRNA". It matches the Rfam family "Bacterial small subunit ribosomal RNA", at positions 346 to 793 of the family's 1533-position model. The record is from RNAcentral.